ACAAUGCUGGCAACAGCGAUAAGGGAACCUCGAGUGCCAGGUUACAAAUCUGGCUGUCGAGAUGCCCAAAAAGCAUUUCAUAGCAAGGGCCGGGCAAGACCGGUGCCAGCCGCCGCGGUAACACCGGCGGCUCGAGUGGUAACCGUUAUUAUUGGGUCUAAAGGGUCUGUAGCCGGCCGGAUAAGUCUCUUGAGAAAUCUGGCAGCUUAACUGUCAGGCUUUCAGGAGAUACUGUCUGGCUCGAGGCCGGGAGAGGUGAGAGGUACUUCAGGGGUAGGGGUGAAAUCUUGUAAUCCUUGAAGGACCACCAGUGGCGAAGGCGUCUCACCAGAACGGACCUGACGGCAAGGGACGAAAGCUAGGGGCACGAACCGGAUUAGAUACCCGGGUAGUCCUAGCCGUAAACGAUACUCGCUAGGUGUCGGCCACGGUGCGACCGUUGUCGGUGCCGUAGGGAAGCCGUGAAGCGAGC
This 472-nucleotide ribosomal RNA is filed under the name uncultured archaeon. RNAcentral's name for it is "bacterial SSU rRNA". It matches the Rfam family "Archaeal small subunit ribosomal RNA", at positions 352 to 824 of the family's 1478-position model. The record is from RNAcentral.